RNAcentral lists this ribosomal RNA (1361 nucleotides) under uncultured bacterium. RNAcentral's name for it is "bacterial SSU rRNA". It matches the Rfam family "Bacterial small subunit ribosomal RNA", at positions 28 to 1381 of the family's 1533-position model. The record is from RNAcentral.
AUUGAACGCUGGCGGCAGGCCUAACACAUGCAAGUCGAGCGGUAGCACAGAGAGCUUGCUCUCGGGUGACGAGCGGCGGACGGGUGAGUAAUGUCUGGGAAACUGCCUGAUGGAGGGGGAUAACUACUGGAAACGGUAGCUAAUACCGCAUAAUGUCGCAAGACCAAAGUGGGGGACCUUCGGGCCUCAUGCCAUCAGAUGUGCCCAGAUGGGAUUAGCUAGUAGGUGGGGUAACGGCUCACCUAGGCGACGAUCCCUAGCUGGUCUGAGAGGAUGACCAGCCACACUGGAACUGAGACACGGUCCAGACUCCUACGGGAGGCAGCAGUGGGGAAUAUUGCACAAUGGGCGCAAGCCUGAUGCAGCCAUGCCGCGUGUGUGAAGAAGGCCUUCGGGUUGUAAAGCACUUUCAGCGGGGAGGAAGGCGGUGAGGUUAAUAACCUCAUCGAUUGACGUUACCCGCAGAAGAAGCACCGGCUAACUCCGUGCCAGCAGCCGCGGUAAUACGGAGGGUGCGAGCGUUAAUCGGAAUUACUGGGCGUAAAGCGCACGCAGGCGGUCUGUCAAGUCGGAUGUGAAAUCCCCGGGCUCAACCUGGGAACUGCAUUCGAAACUGGCAGGCUAGAGUCUUGUAGAGGGGGGUAGAAUUCCAGGUGUAGCGGUGAAAUGCGUAGAGAUCUGGAGGAAUACCGGUGGCGAAGGCGGCCCCCUGGACAAAGACUGACGCUCAGGUGCGAAAGCGUGGGGAGCAAACAGGAUUAGAUACCCUGGUAGUCCACGCCGUAAACGAUGUCGAUUUGGAGGUUGUGCUCUUGAGGCGUGGCUUCCGGAGCUAACGCGUUAAAUCGACCGCCUGGGGAGUACGGCCGCAAGGUUAAAACUCAAAUGAAUUGACGGGGGCCCGCACAAGCGGUGGAGCAUGUGGUUUAAUUCGAUGCAACGCGAAGAACCUUACCUGGUCUUGACAUCCACAGAACUUUCCAGAGAUGGAUUGGUGCCUUCGGGAACUGUGAGACAGGUGCUGCAUGGCUGUCGUCAGCUCGUGUUGUGAAAUGUUGGGUUAAGUCCCGCAACGAGCGCAACCCUUAUCCUUUGUUGCCAGCGGUUAGGCCGGGAACUCAAAGGAGACUGCCAGUGAUAAACUGGAGGAAGGUGGGGAUGACGUCAAGUCAUCAUGGCCCUUACGACCAGGGCUACACACGUGCUACAAUGGCAUAUACAAAGAGAAGCGACCUCGCGAGAGCAAGCGGACCUCAUAAAGUAUGUCGUAGUCCGGAUUGGAGUCUGCAACUCGACUCCAUGAAGUCGGAAUCGCUAGUAAUCGUAGAUCAGAAUGCUACGGUGAAUACGUUCCCGGGCCU